UUUUGAUUGUUGCUCAGAAUGUCGUGAUAUUUAAUGGCAUUUGGGCACCAAUCAGAGCC
Molecule: microRNA precursor, 59 nt
Filed under: Lingula anatina
Lineage: Eukaryota; Metazoa; Brachiopoda; Lingulata; Lingulida; Lingulidae
Description: Lan-Mir-315_pre stem-loop
Source: RNAcentral